This 229-nucleotide unclassified non-coding RNA is filed under the name Funneliformis mosseae. RNAcentral describes it as "partial contains 5.8S ribosomal RNA and internal transcribed spacer 2". The stretch from base 1 to 71 matches the Rfam family "5.8S ribosomal RNA", at positions 84 to 154 of the family's 154-position model. Lineage: Eukaryota; Fungi; Glomeromycota; Glomeromycetes; Glomerales; Glomeraceae. The record is from RNAcentral.
GUGAAUCAUCGAAUCUUUGAACGCAAAUUGCACUCCCUGGUAUUCCGGGGAGUAUGCCUGUUUGAGGGUCGUUAGAACAAAAAUCGAACCGUCGCUCUUUUUUUUAAGGGUGAUCGCGUCGGAAUUGUGCCGUCUUUCAAAUUUUAAUGCAUGUCAAAGUGUCUUAAAAUUCAUCCAUCCGGUAUGAUUAAAGCGUAUUUAAGAUCAAUUUCGAUUAAGAACGCGUGAU